CCUACGGGAGGCAGCAGUAAGGAAUAUUGGUCAAUGGGCGGAAGCCUGAACCAGCCAUGCCGCGUGCAGGAAGACGGCCCUACGGGUUGUAAACUGCUUUUAUACGGGAAUAAACCUCGAUACGUGUAUCGAGCUGAAUGUACUGUAAGAAUAAGGAUCGGCUAACUCCGUGCCAGCAGCCGCGGUAAUACGGAGGAUCCAAGCGUUAUCCGGAUUUAUUGGGUUUAAAGGGUGCGUAGGUGGCCUGUUAAGUCAGGGGUGAAAGACGGUAGCUUAACUAUCGCAGUGCCCUUGAUACUGAUGGGCUUGAAUAAACUAGAGGUAGGCGGAAUGUGACAAGUAGCGGUGAAAUGCAUAGAUAUGUCACAGAACACCAAUUGCGAAGGCAGCUUACUAUGGUUUAUUGACACUGAGGCACGAAAGCGUGGGGAUCAAACAGGAUUAGAUACCCUGGUAGUCCACGCCCUAAACGAUGAAUACUCGAUGUUGGCGAUAUACGGUCAGCGUCUAAGCGAAAGCGUUAAGUAUUCCACCUGGGAGUACGCCCGCAAGGUGAAACGUCAAAUGAAUUGACGGCGNGAGAGUGACGACGGACGACGACGAGGGAGGAGG
RNAcentral lists this ribosomal RNA (612 nucleotides) under uncultured bacterium. RNAcentral describes it as "bacterial SSU rRNA". It matches the Rfam family "Bacterial small subunit ribosomal RNA", at positions 338 to 957 of the family's 1533-position model. The record is from RNAcentral.